UCGACCUGAGGUCAGGCAAGAACACCCGCUGAACUUAAGCAUAUCAAUAAGCGGAGGAAAAGAAACUAACUAGGAUUCCCUUAGUAGCGGCGAGCGAACCGGGAUGAGCCCAACUUGUAAAUCAUUAGCCCUCGGCUAAUUGAAUUGUAGUCUCAAGAUGCGAUCUCUGCAGCUAGCAGUGCUCAAUUUUCCUUGGAAAAGGGAGUCAGAGAGGGUGAGAACCCCGUCGGCACUUGCCUCAGCUGCUCCACGAGGCGUUUUCUCAGAGUCGGGUUGCUUGCGAAUGCAGCCCUAAGUAGGUGGUAAAUCCCAUCUAAGGCUAAAUACUGACGGGAGACCGAUAGCGAACAAGUACCGUGAGGAAAGAUGAAAGAACUUUGAAAAGAGAGUCAAAAGUGCUUGAAAUUGUUGAGGGGGAAGGAAUUGGAGCCGUUGUGCACC
Molecule: ribosomal RNA, 441 nt
Filed under: uncultured Trebouxia photobiont
Lineage: Eukaryota; Viridiplantae; Chlorophyta; Trebouxiophyceae; Trebouxiales; Trebouxiaceae
Description: eukaryotic LSU rRNA
Rfam family: Eukaryotic large subunit ribosomal RNA
Source: RNAcentral